GAUGAUCAGCCACACUGGGACUGAGACACGGCCCAGACUCCUACGGGAGGCAGCAGUGGGGAAUUUUGCGCAAUGGGGGAAACCCUGACGCAGCAACGCCGCGUGAGUGAAGAAGGCCUUUGGGUCGUAAAGCUCUGUCAACUGGGAAGAAAUUACAAUUAUCCAAUAGGUGAUUGUAUUGACGGUACCAGUGGAGGAAGCGCCGGCUAACUCCGUGCCAGCAGCCGCGGUAACACGGGGGGCGCAAGCGUUAUUCGGGAAUUAUUGGGGCGUAAAGGGCGCGUAGGCGGUCUUGUCGGUCAGAUGUGAAAGCCCAGGGCUCACCCCUGGACGUGCAUUUGAAACAGCAAGACUUGAGUACGGGAGAGGAAAGCGGAAUUCCUGGGUGUAGAGGUGAAAUUCGUAGAUAUCAGGAGGAACACCGAUGGCGAAGGCAGCUUUCUGGACCGAU
RNAcentral lists this ribosomal RNA (451 nucleotides) under uncultured bacterium. RNAcentral's name for it is "bacterial SSU rRNA". It matches the Rfam family "Bacterial small subunit ribosomal RNA", at positions 299 to 738 of the family's 1533-position model. The record is from RNAcentral.